This 404-nucleotide ribosomal RNA is filed under the name Actinomycetes bacterium. RNAcentral's name for it is "Actinobacteria bacterium partial 16S ribosomal RNA". It matches the Rfam family "Bacterial small subunit ribosomal RNA", at positions 355 to 776 of the family's 1533-position model. Lineage: Bacteria; Bacillati; Actinomycetota; Actinomycetes. The record is from RNAcentral.
UGGGGAAUUUUGGACAAUGGGCGCAAGCCUGAUCCAGCCAUGCCGCGUGAGUGAUGAAGGCCCUAGGGUUGUAAAGCUCUUUCACCGGUGAAGAUAAUGACGGUAACUGGAGAAGAAGCCCCGGCUAACUUCGUGCCAGCAGCCGCGGUAAUACGAAGGGGGCUAGCGUUGUUCGGAUUUACUGGGCGUAAAGCGCACGUAGGCGGACUUUUAAGUCAGGGGUGAAAUCCCGGGGCUCAACCCCGGAACUGCCUUUGAUACUGGAAGUCUUGAGUAUGGUAGAGGUGAGUGGAAUUCCGAGUGUAGAGGUGAAAUUCGUAGGUAUUCGGAGGAAAACCAGUGGCGAAGGCGGCUCACUGGACCAUUACUGACGCUGAGGUGCGAAAGCGUGGGGAGCAAACAGG